This 497-nucleotide ribosomal RNA is filed under the name uncultured bacterium. RNAcentral's name for it is "partial 16S ribosomal RNA". It matches the Rfam family "Bacterial small subunit ribosomal RNA", at positions 28 to 507 of the family's 1533-position model. The record is from RNAcentral.
GAUGAACGCUGGCGGCGUGCCUAAUACAUGCAAGUCGAGCGAACAGACGAGGAGCUUGCUCCUCUGACGUUAGCGGCGGACGGGUGAGUAACACGUGGAUAACCUACCUAUAAGACUGGGAUAACUUCGGGAAACCGGAGCUAAUACCGGAUAAUAUAUUGAACCGCAUGGUUCAAUAGUGAAAGACGGUUUUGCUGUCACUUAUAGAUGGAUCCGCGCCGCAUUAGCUAGUUGGUAAGGUAACGGCUUACCAAGGCAACGAUGCGUAGCCGACCUGAGAGGGGGAUCGGCCACACUGGAAGUGAGACACGGUCCAGACUCCUACGGGAGGCAGCAGUAGGGAAUCUUCCGCAAUGGGCGAAAGCCUGACGGAGCAACGCCGCGUGAGUGAUGAAGGUCUUCGGAUCGUAAAACUCUGUUAUUAGGGAAGAACAAAUGUGUAAGUAACUAUGCACGUCUUGACGGUACCUAGUCAGAAAGCCACGGCUAACUACGUG